RNAcentral lists this transfer RNA (72 nucleotides) under Malawimonas californiana (nom. ined.). RNAcentral describes it as "Malawimonas californiana tRNA-Gly". It matches the Rfam family "tRNA". From Rfam's summary of the family: Transfer RNA (tRNA) molecules are approximately 80 nucleotides in length. Their secondary structure includes four short double-helical elements and three loops (D, anti-codon, and T loops). Further hydrogen bonds mediate the characteristic L-shaped molecular structure. tRNAs have two regions of fundamental functional importance: the anti-codon, which is responsible for specific mRNA codon recognition, and the 3' end, to which the tRNAs corresponding amino acid is attached (by aminoacyl-tRNA synthetases). tRNAs cope with the degeneracy of the genetic code in two manners: having more than one tRNA (with a specific anti-codon) for a particular amino acid; and 'wobble' base-pairing, i.e. permitting non-standard base-pairing at the 3rd anti-codon position. Lineage: Eukaryota; Malawimonada; Malawimonadea; Malawimonadida; Malawimonadidae. The record is from RNAcentral.
GUGGUUGUAAAUUAAUGGUAAAUUGAUUGCCUUCCAAGCAGAGUAUUGAGGGUUCAAUUCCCUCCAACCGCA